UACGUAGGUGGCGAGCGUUGUCCGGAAUUACUGGGCGUAAAGGGCGCGUAGGCGGAUAUUUAAGUCAGAUGUGAAAACUCCGGGCUCAACUUGGAUAUUGCAUUUGAAACUGGGUAUCUUGAGGACAGGAGAGGAAAGCGGAAUUCCUAGUGUAGCGGUGAAAUGCGUAGAUAUUAGGAGGAACACCAGUGGCGAAGGCGGCUUUCUGGACUGUAACUGACGCUGAGGCGCGAAAGCGUGGGGAGCAAACGGGAUUAGAUACCCGCGUAGUCCCUGA
Molecule: ribosomal RNA, 277 nt
Filed under: uncultured prokaryote
Description: partial 16S ribosomal RNA
Rfam family: Bacterial small subunit ribosomal RNA
Source: RNAcentral